UGGGGAAUUUUGGCAAUGGGCGAAAGCCUGAUCCAGCAAUGCCGCGUGUGUGAAGAAGGCCUUCGGGUUGUAAAGCACUUUUGUCCGGAAAGAAAUCCUUGGCUCUAAUACAGUCGGGGGAUGACGGUACCGGAAGAAUAAGCACCGGCUAACUACGUGCCAGCAGCCGCGGUAAUACGUAGGGUGCAAGCGUUAAUCGGAAUUACUGGGCGUAAAGCGUGCGCAGGCGGUUUGCUAAGACCGAUGUGAAAUCCCCGGGCUCAACCUGGGAACUGCAUUGGUGACUGGCAGGCUAGAGUAUGGCAGAGGGGGGUAGAAUUCCACGUGUAGCAGUGAAAUGCGUAGAGAUGUGGAGGAAUACCGAUGGCGAAGGCAGCCCCCUGGGCAAGUACUGACGCUCAUGCACGAAAGCGUGGGGAGCAAACNGGAUUAAUACCCUGGUAGUCCACGCCCUAAANGAUGUCAACUAGUUGUUGGGGAUUCAUUUCCUUAGUAACGUAGCUAACGCGUGAAGUUGACCGCCUGGGGAGUACGGUCGCAAGAUUAAAACUCAAAU
This 556-nucleotide ribosomal RNA is filed under the name uncultured bacterium. RNAcentral describes it as "partial 16S ribosomal RNA". It matches the Rfam family "Bacterial small subunit ribosomal RNA", at positions 355 to 906 of the family's 1533-position model. The record is from RNAcentral.